CACGUAGUUAGCCGGUGCUUUUUCUGCAGGUACCGUCACUUUCGCUUCUUCCCUACUAAAAGAGGUUUACAACCCGAAGGCCGUCGUCCCUCACGCGGUGUUGCUGCAUCAGGCUUGCGCCCAUUGUGCAAUAUUCCCCACUGUUGCCUCCCGUAGGAGUCUGGGCCGUGUCUCAGUCCCAGUGUGGCCGGUCACCCUCUCAGGCCGGCUACCCGUCGUCGCCUUGGUGAGCCAUUACCUCACCAACAAGCUGAUAGGCCGCGAGUCCAUCCUUGACCGAAAUUCUUUCCACCCCCAGGAGAUGCCUCCGAAGGUCGUAUCCGGUAUUAGACGUCGUUUCCAACGCUUAUCCCAGAGUCAAGGGCAGGUUACUCACGUGUUACUCACCCGUUCGCCACUGAUCCACAGAGCAAGCUCUGCUUCACCGUUCGACUUGCAUGUGUUAAGCACGCCGCCAGCGUUGUCCUGAGCCAGGAUCAAACUCU
Molecule: ribosomal RNA, 485 nt
Filed under: uncultured Leifsonia sp.
Lineage: Bacteria; Bacillati; Actinomycetota; Actinomycetes; Micrococcales; Microbacteriaceae
Description: partial 16S ribosomal RNA
Source: RNAcentral